GCUACAAACCGGGUUAUCGUUCCAUCCUCAACUUGUUGAAGUAUGGGAAGGAAAGUCCGGACAGUAAAGAGCAACACACCGGUUAACAGCCGGGUUCCGCUUUGGCGGAAAUAGAAAGUGCCACAGAAAAUAACUGCUGUGUUUUGUGGAAACACAAACCACGGUGAGGGUGAAAAUGUGAGGUAAGAGCUCACGGGAAAUAUUGGUAACAAUAUUUUUGGGUAAACCUUGUGUACUGUAAUGCCACGUAUAUCAACGCCUGAGGGUUGCUCGCCCGAGUUGAAGGGUAGGCAGCAAGAUCUCCGCAGUAAUGCGGCGGCCAGAUAAAUGAUAACCUCCAGGAUUUACUGGAACAGAAUCCGGCUUACAGGUUUGUAGUUAUU
This 383-nucleotide RNase P RNA is filed under the name Chitinophagaceae bacterium. RNAcentral's name for it is "RNase P RNA component class A". It matches the Rfam family "Bacterial RNase P class A". Rfam says of the family: Ribonuclease P (RNase P) is a ubiquitous endoribonuclease, found in archaea, bacteria and eukarya as well as chloroplasts and mitochondria. Its best characterised activity is the generation of mature 5'-ends of tRNAs by cleaving the 5'-leader elements of precursor-tRNAs. Lineage: Bacteria; Pseudomonadati; Bacteroidota; Chitinophagia; Chitinophagales; Chitinophagaceae. The record is from RNAcentral.